UAAAUAAAUAAUUUAAUACCAGAUUAUUACUAGAUAUGUUCUUUAAAAUUAAAGAUUUUGGCGGUAUUUUAGACUUUUCAGAGGAACCUGUUCUAUAAUUGAUAUUCCACGAUUAAUUAAACUAAUCUUAGUAGUUUGUAUAUCGUUGUAGUUGAAUAUUUUAAAAGAAAAAUAAUAUUCAAAAAUUUAUAUUAAAAAAUAAAUCAAAUCAAGGUGCAGUUUAUAGAUUAGGAGAAAUGGGUUACAAUAAAAGUAUUUAUGGUUUUAAUAAUUAAAAUUGUUAUAUAAAUUGGAUUUGAAAGUAAUUUAAUUUAGUUUAAUUAAAUGAUUUUAGCUCUAAAAUAUGC
RNAcentral lists this ribosomal RNA (347 nucleotides) under Enicmus aterrimus. RNAcentral's name for it is "partial 12S ribosomal RNA". The record is from RNAcentral. Lineage: Eukaryota; Metazoa; Arthropoda; Insecta; Coleoptera; Latridiidae.